AUGCCUUUGUUAUCUCACUUCUUGACCUCAAACUUUGUCCAUAAAUUAUUUCAUCACUUUCCCGAGCUCCACCAAAAUCUCAAGAUAUCUGGACCUUCCUCACCCACUUUCUAUCCAGACCCAUUUGAAUUAAGUUCAAAUGAGUUUGGAUUUAGAUUGCCAAAACCUCUUCCAACCAUUUUUGUUAAAUCCUUCAUAUUUUCUUGGUCCAGGGAAAAUAUCUCAGUUGGUCUAAUUCUUUUUCUAACCCUCUCUUUCUUUUCUCCAAAGUUCUGUUUACUUUAUAAAUGGAAGAUCAAUUAG
RNAcentral lists this ribosomal RNA (303 nucleotides) under Triticum aestivum (bread wheat). Its description in RNAcentral is "partial small subunit ribosomal RNA". The record is from RNAcentral. Lineage: Eukaryota; Viridiplantae; Streptophyta; Magnoliopsida; Poales; Poaceae.